CUACGGGUGGCUGCAGUGAGGAAUUUUGCGCAAUGGGGGUAACCCUGACGCAGCAACGUCGCGUGACCGAUUGAAGCUUCUAGGAGUGUAAAGGUCUGUCGUGAGGGAAGAAAUGGUCUGAUAAUAAUAAGAUUGGAUUUUGGCGGUACCUCAUAAGAAAGCUCCGGCUAACUUCGUGCCAGCAGCCGCGGUAAUACGAGGGGAGCAAGCGUUGUCCGAAAUAACUGGGCGUAAAGGGUGCGUAGGCUUUUGUACAAGUUUUCAGUGAAAUUCAUAGGCUCAACUUAUGACCUGCUGGAAAACUGUAUGGAUUGAAUUCGGAAGGGGAAAGCGGAAUUCCUGGUGUAGCGGUGAAAUGCGUAGAUAUCAGGAGGAACACCAGUGGCGAAGGCGGCUUUCUGGUCCGAAAUUGACGCUGAGGCACUAAAGCGUGGGUAGCAAACAGGAUUAGAUACCCUUGUAGUC
Molecule: ribosomal RNA, 465 nt
Filed under: uncultured bacterium
Lineage: Bacteria
Description: partial 16S ribosomal RNA
Rfam family: Bacterial small subunit ribosomal RNA
Source: RNAcentral